CUAAGCGUGAAGCCGACCCAAAGAUAAGAUAUCCCACUGAUUGAAUCAGGUAAGAUUCCUUGUAGACUACGAGGUUGAUAGGCACGAUGUGUAAGUGGAGCGAUCCAUUCAGCAAGUGUGUACUAAUAGAUCGAGGGCUUGACCAC
This is a ribosomal RNA of Faecalibacterium prausnitzii, 146 nucleotides long. It matches the Rfam family "Bacterial large subunit ribosomal RNA", at positions 2781 to 2925 of the family's 2925-position model. The record is from Rfam. Lineage: Bacteria; Bacillati; Bacillota; Clostridia; Eubacteriales; Oscillospiraceae.